UCUAAUUAAGUUGUUUGCAAUUCUCUUAAGAAAUUAAAAAAAUGUCGAAGAGUCUUACAUUCAUCAUUUUGGCUUUGCUUGUAGUGGCAAACACUAAAAACAUGCUCAUUUCAGCUAGUAGAACUGGCCAAGGAUCUAAGCCAGAGGCUUUAUUUUCUAUUAACCCUGCAGCAUCACCUGACAUUGUUGAUUGCUCAGGGCUCACAAGUGAAGAGUGUUUGAUCGAGACGAUUAAGAAAGCUCUUGUAGACUAUCGGUACCCCUGCCCUGAGGGGGGGUGCAAAUGAUAUUGUUAAUAAGUUAUUUCUUUUACCUUGUAGGAGUGCUUUUGCAAUAACGAUCAAUUAUAGCAAAAUUGAAUUCGUGUUUUAAUAAAAGAAAAAAUUAAUCCAUUAUGCAUACGUAAUAUUAUGUCAUAUGUUUUUUUUGUGUGUAUCUCAUGUUGCUUUGUUAUAGAUGCGUCGUCGAAUCAAUCUUCGAGAAAGCAGUUUGUUUAAAUAAUAGCAAUUAUCAACCAAUCAACAAUACUUUGUUGGUACCAUUUGUAAUAUUUAAAUUUUAAGUCUAUCUACUCUUAG
Molecule: long non-coding RNA, 578 nt
Filed under: Citrus maxima (pomelo)
Lineage: Eukaryota; Viridiplantae; Streptophyta; Magnoliopsida; Sapindales; Rutaceae
Description: long non-coding RNA (CMAX_LNC003050)
Source: RNAcentral